GUGGGGAAUAUUGGACAAUGGGCGAAAGCCUGAUCCAGCCAUGCCGCGUGUGUGAAGAAGGUCUUCGGAUUGUAAAGCACUUUAAGUUGGGAGGAAGGGCAGUAAGUUAAUACCUUGCUGUUUUGACGUUACCGACAGAAUAAGCACCGGCUAACUUCGUGCCAGCAGCCGCGGUAAUACGAAGGGUGCAAGCGUUAAUCGGAAUUACUGGGCGUAAAGCGCGCGUAGGUGGUUUUGUAAGUUGGAGGUGAAAUCCCCAGGCUCAACCUGGGAACUGCCUCCAAAACUGCAUGACUAGAGUACGGUAGAGGGUAGUGGAAUUUCCUGUGUAGCGGUGAAAUGCGUAGAUAUGGGAAGGAACACCAGUGGCGAAGGCGACUACCUGGACUGAUACUGACACUGAGGUGCGAAAGCGUGGGGAGCAAACAGGAUUAGAUACCCCUGUAGUCC
This 450-nucleotide ribosomal RNA is filed under the name uncultured bacterium. Its description in RNAcentral is "partial 16S ribosomal RNA". It matches the Rfam family "Bacterial small subunit ribosomal RNA", at positions 354 to 796 of the family's 1533-position model. The record is from RNAcentral.